RNAcentral lists this ribosomal RNA (253 nucleotides) under uncultured bacterium. RNAcentral's name for it is "partial 16S ribosomal RNA". It matches the Rfam family "Bacterial small subunit ribosomal RNA", at positions 524 to 776 of the family's 1533-position model. The record is from RNAcentral.
UACAUGGGGUGCAAACGUUGCUCGGAAUCAUUGGGCGUAAAGCGCGCGUAGGCGGUUACUUAAGUUGGAUGUGAAAGCCCUCGGCUUAACUGAGGAAGUGCAUCCAAAACUGAGUAGCUAGAGUACGAAAGAGGGUCGCGGAAUUCCCGGUGUAGAGGUGAAAUUCGUAGAUAUCGGGAGGAACACCGGUGGCGAAGGCGGCGACCUGGGUCGAGACUGACGCUGAGGUGCGAGAGCGUGGGGAGCGAACCGG